GCUCCGAUAGCCUAGUGGUUAGAGCGUCCGCCUCGGAUGUGGGAGGUCGUGGGUUCCAUCCCUGGUUGAGUCA
Non-coding RNA from Potamilus streckersoni, 73 nucleotides. The record is from the annotation of a GenBank genome assembly. Lineage: Eukaryota; Metazoa; Mollusca; Bivalvia; Unionida; Unionidae.